RNAcentral lists this ribosomal RNA (766 nucleotides) under Candidatus Phytoplasma cynodontis. RNAcentral's name for it is "bacterial SSU rRNA". It matches the Rfam family "Bacterial small subunit ribosomal RNA", at positions 388 to 1164 of the family's 1533-position model. Lineage: Bacteria; Bacillati; Mycoplasmatota; Mollicutes; Acholeplasmatales; Acholeplasmataceae. The record is from RNAcentral.
CGAGCAACGCCGCGUGAACGAUGAAGUAUUUCGGUAUGUAAAGUUCUUUUAUUGAAGAAGAAAAAAUAGUGGAAAAACUAUCUUGACGAUAUUCAAUGAAUAAGCCCCGGCAAACUAUGUGCCAGCAGCCGCGGUAAUACAUAGGGGGCGAGCGUUAUCCGGAAUUAUUGGGCGUAAAGGGUGCGUAGGCGGUUUGGUAAGUCUAUAGUUUAAUUUCAGUGCUUAACACUGUUCUGCUAUAGAAACUAUCAGACUAGAGUGAGAUAGAGGCAAGUGGAAUUCCAUGUGUAGCGGUAAAAUGCGUAAAUAUAUGGAGGAACACCAGAGGCGUAGGCGGCUUGCUGGGUCUUUACUGACGCUGAGGCACGAAAGCGUGGGGAGCAAACAGGAUUAGAUACCCUGGUAGUCCACGCCGUAAACGAUGAGUACUAAGUGUCGGGGAAACUCGGUACUGAAGUUAACACAUUAAGUACUCCGCCUGAGUAGUACGUACGCAAGUAUGAAACUUAAAGGAAUUGACGGGACUCCGCACAAGCGGUGGAUCAUGUUGUUUAAUUCGAAGAUACACGAAAAACCUUACCAGGUCUUGACAUACUCUGCAAAGCUAUAGCAAUAUAGUGGAGGUUAUCAGGGAUACAGGUGGUGCAUGGUUGUCGUCAGCUCGUGUCGUGAGAUGUUAGGUUAAGUCCUAAAACGAGCGCAACCCUUGUCACUAGUUGCCAGCAUGUUAUGAUGGGCACUUUAACGAGACUGCAAAUGAAAAAUU